This 468-nucleotide ribosomal RNA is filed under the name uncultured bacterium. Its description in RNAcentral is "partial 16S ribosomal RNA". It matches the Rfam family "Bacterial small subunit ribosomal RNA", at positions 28 to 507 of the family's 1533-position model. The record is from RNAcentral.
GACGAACGCUGGCGGCGUGCUUAACACAUGCAAGUCGAACGGAAAGGCCCUGCUUUUGUGGGGUGCUCGAGUGGCGAACGGGUGAGUAACACGUGAGUAACCUGCCCUUGACUUUGGGAUAACUUCAGGAAACUGGGGCUCAUACCGGAUAGGAGCUCCUGCUGCAUGGUGGGGGUUGGAAAGUUUCGGCGGUUGGGGAUGGACUCGCGGCUUAUCAGCUUGUUGGUGGGGUAGUGGCUUACCAAGGCUUUGACGGGUAGCCGGCCUGGGAGGGUGACCGGCCACAUGGGGACUGAGAGACGGCCCAGACGCCUACGGGAGGCAGCAGGGGGGAAUAUUGCGCAAUGGGCGGAAGCCUGAGGCAGCAACGCCGGGUGCGGGAUGACGGCCUUCGGGUUGUAAACCUCUGUCGCCUGUGACGAAGCGUGAGUGACGGUAAUGGGUAAAGAAGCACCGGCUAACUACGUG